This 439-nucleotide ribosomal RNA is filed under the name uncultured bacterium. RNAcentral describes it as "bacterial SSU rRNA". It matches the Rfam family "Bacterial small subunit ribosomal RNA", at positions 340 to 774 of the family's 1533-position model. The record is from RNAcentral.
UACGAAGGCAGCAGUGGGGAAUAUUGCACAAUGGGCGCAAGCCUGAUGCAGCCAUGCCGCGUGUAUGAAGAAGGCCUUCGGGUUGUAAAGUACUUUCAGUCGUGAGGAAGGUGUUAAGGUUAAUAACCUUAGCAAUUGACGUUAGCGACAGAAGAAGCACCGGCUAACUCCGUGCCAGCAGCCGCGGUAAUACGGAGGGUGCGAGCGUUAAUCGGAAUUACUGGGCGUAAAGGGCACGCAGGCGGUUAAUUAAGUUGGAUGUGAAAUCCCCGGGCUUAACCUGGGAAUGGCAUUCAAGACUGGUUAGCUAGAGUCUUGUAGAGGGGGUAGAAUUCCAUGUGUAGCGGUGAAAUGCGUAGAGAUGUGGAGGAAUACCGGUGGCGAAGGCGGCCCCUGGACAAAGGCUGACGCUCAUGUGCGAAAGCGUGGGGAGCGAAAC